GUGUUCGCUUCUAGCAGCACAUCCUAAAAAUUGUAACAAUGCAGGGAAGAUUAGCAUGGCUCCUUUGCAAGAAUAGCACACAAAUUCAUGAGGCUUUCCAUAUUUUU
Small nuclear RNA from Sorex araneus (European shrew), 107 nucleotides. The record is from Ensembl. NCBI's taxonomy places the organism in Eukaryota, Metazoa, Chordata, Mammalia, Eulipotyphla, Soricidae.